RNAcentral lists this long non-coding RNA (851 nucleotides) under Volvox carteri. RNAcentral's name for it is "long non-coding RNA (VCAR_LNC002638)". Lineage: Eukaryota; Viridiplantae; Chlorophyta; Chlorophyceae; Chlamydomonadales; Volvocaceae. The record is from RNAcentral.
GGUGGCGUCGUUGCUGGAUCCGGAGCGGCAUGUGGUAGUGGCGAUGCCUGCAGCGACAGCGGCAGAAGAUGAUGGACGCAUGACGGCGGCGCGCUUGGCGGUGGCGAUUGUGGCGGUUGUGGGGGUGGACAAGAAGAUUGUGCUGGCGAUUCCGCGCGGCGGCGGCCGUGGUGGAAGAAAGGGGAGUGCGGAUGCGGGGCCGGGGAUGUCGGGCUGCUCCUGCCCUGAGGCGUGGUUCGGCGGGGGCUGCGUGUGGGCCUGUGGGAUGGCGGAUGCAAGGGAUGCGCAGGUGAUAGCGGAGGCACUGACCUGCGCCACACGCAGCGUGUGGGAGUCAUCAUUAAGUAAGAUCUAAAGCACAAAACUCCGGGAUACUCUGUUGGUGCGGACAUUUCCCUAUGUAGCAAGCGAGAUUUAUUUGGGCGUUGAAAGGCCGGCUGGAUGUUUUGUGGCAGAACGAGGACAGAAAAAAGCAAACGCCAGUUGCUGUUUUGAAUUGGUGCGUUGGAAAUAUGACGAUCUCAGGCGCGAGCAUAUGACUUUGUUGCUCCUCCUAUUGGGGCGUCCAAAUGACGAGUUGGCAGCAGUGGGCUCAGGAUUCCAUGCGCAGUUCAAGAUGAAGGUGUUGUGUCGUCCAUCCAGUUUGUUAUCUCCAUAAGCUUGUUAUAGAAUCUUGGAGAAGCGUAGAGGUUUGGAGGGGCUGCACACAUGUUGGACUUGGACAGAGCCUUAGUUGUUGUGCAAAUGCGUUUGUGCAAACGCGGUGCUUCUCUUAAAUAAUCAUAGCGCCAUCGGAGUUCAGCUGGAGAAUUCAUCACAUUUCUGAAGAUGGAAAACCUAGCUUUUAAAUU